CAGCCAAUCUGAGCAGGAUUUAACCCCCUGUUCAUUAUUUGAUGAGCAGGGAGUUUAAUCCUGGUCAGGUUGGUUG
This is a non-coding RNA of Podarcis lilfordi (Lilford's wall lizard), 76 nucleotides long. The record is from the annotation of a GenBank genome assembly. NCBI's taxonomy places the organism in Eukaryota, Metazoa, Chordata, Lepidosauria, Squamata, Lacertidae.